RNAcentral lists this ribosomal RNA (991 nucleotides) under Pristionchus maupasi. RNAcentral's name for it is "SSU rRNA". It matches the Rfam family "Eukaryotic small subunit ribosomal RNA", at positions 405 to 1445 of the family's 1831-position model. Lineage: Eukaryota; Metazoa; Nematoda; Chromadorea; Rhabditida; Neodiplogasteridae. The record is from RNAcentral.
GGCUAUCACAUCCAAGGAAGGCAGCAGGCGCGUAAAUUACCCACUCUCAAUUCGAGGAGGUAGUGACUAUCAAUAACGAGACAGAUCUCUUUGAGGUCUGUCAUUGAAAUGAGCACAACUUAAAGACUUUAACGAAGUCUAUGGGAGGGCAAGUCUGGUGCCAGCAGCCGCGGUAAUUCCAGCUCCCAACGUGUAUAUCGUCAUUGCUGCGGUUAAAAAGCUCGUAGUUGGAUCUUAGCUUAUGACAGUAGUUCACCAUGUGUGAUACUGCGUGUCUGAGCUGUUUCGCCGGUUUUCCUUGGUUUCGGCCUUGGUGACUGGUGUUGUAACUUUGAUUAAAUCAAUGUGAUUAAAACAGGCGUUUGCUUGUAUGCUUUAUCAUGGAAUAAUAGAAUAUGACUUCGGUCCAUUCUGUUGGUCUUGGGAUCGAAGUAAUGAUUAAAAGGAACAACUCGGGGGCAUCCGUAUCGCUGCGUGAGAGGUGAAAUUCUUGGACCGCAGCGAGACGACCUAUUGCGAAAGCAUUUGCCAAGAAUGUUUUCAUUAAUCAAGAACGAAAGUCAGAGGAUCGAAGGCGAUUAGAUACCGCCCUAGUUCUGACCGUAAACUAUGCCAACUAGCGAUCAGGUGGUGGUAGUUUAGCCCUGCCUGGGAGCUUCUCGGAAACGAAAGUCUUCGGGUUCCGGGGGUAGUAUGGUUGCAAAUCUGAAACUUAAAGGAAUUGACGGAAGGGCACCACCAGGAGUGGAGCCUGCGGCUUAAUUUGACUCAACACGGGAAAUCUCACCCGGACCGGACACUAUAAUGAUUGACAGAUUGAUAGUUCUUUCUUGAUUUGGUGGUUGGUGGUGCAUGGCCGUUCUUAGUUCGUGGAUUGAUCUGUCUGGUUUAUUCCGAUAACGAACGAGACUCUAACCUGCUAACUAGUGGUGCGAUAGUUUGGUCGUAUCUACUUCUUAGAGGGAUAAGCGGUGUUCAACCGCAUGAGAUU